RNAcentral lists this ribosomal RNA (296 nucleotides) under Erugosquilla grahami. Its description in RNAcentral is "partial large subunit ribosomal RNA". It matches the Rfam family "Eukaryotic large subunit ribosomal RNA", at positions 77 to 349 of the family's 3401-position model. Lineage: Eukaryota; Metazoa; Arthropoda; Malacostraca; Stomatopoda; Squillidae. The record is from RNAcentral.
CCCCCAGUAAGGGCGACUGAACGGGGAGGAGCCCAGCGCGGAACCUCGCGCGCCUCGCCGGCUGCGUCUGAGGAAUGUCGCGUUCCGGAGGGACCUUCUCCGACCACACCGACCCCCCCCAAGUCCGCUUGAACGCGGCCACUGCCCACGGAGGGUGCGAGGCCCGUACGGGGAUUAGGAGUCGGGCGGUCGGACGGCCCCGUCCGUAGAGUCGGGUUGCCUACUAACGCAGCCCAAAGCAGGUGGUAAACUCCAUCUAAGGCUAAAUAUGACCACGAGACCGAUAGCGAACAAGU